Molecule: ribosomal RNA, 205 nt
Filed under: Lysinibacillus sphaericus
Lineage: Bacteria; Bacillati; Bacillota; Bacilli; Caryophanales; Bacillaceae
Description: partial 16S ribosomal RNA
Rfam family: Bacterial small subunit ribosomal RNA
Source: RNAcentral
UUUUAUGGAGAGUUUGAUCCUGGCUCAGGACGAACGCUGGCGGCGUGCCUAAUACAUGCAAGUCGAGCGAACAGAGAAGGAGCUUGCUCCUUUGACGUUAGCGGCGGACGGGUGAGUAACACGUGGGCAACCUACCUUAUAGUUUGGGAUAACUCCGGGAAACCGGGGCUAAUACCGAAUAAUCUGUUUCACCUCAUGGUGAAAU